UUAGGUUGGUUAUGUUAUAUAAGAUUUAAAAGGGUAGUCAAAACCAGAAGUUUAGUUUGAAACCGCGAUACUCGUUGGCGCUCGAGUUGAGUUGAAUCGAGUCAAGUACGAGACACUGAGAAUGGCCUUACUGUAGAAGUCGAAAUAAGUAUCUGUCAAAGGUACAACCAAGUGGUGGAAUUAAAUGGAAUUGUACGAACUCGUCUUAUGGCAAGUAACUUUGUACAAUACGGCAAUAUUCUGAAAAUUCCAGAUUUUGAGAUAUUUAACCUAUCAGUUUAUUUCUUAUACACUAGCGCCGCUAAGCGAUUGUGUUUAAAACUAUACUUGCUUGCAUCAUGACGGUUUUCACCACCCGAACAACUUUGUGGAAUACGGCAAUAUUCUAAAAAAAUCAGUUUUCGAAAUAUCUAACCUAGCAGGUUAUUUCCAAUACACUAGCGCCGCCAAGCGGUUGUAUUAUUAACUAAACUUGCUUUCGUCAUGAUGGUUUUAAUCAUCCGAACAACUUUGUAGAAGACGGCAAUAUUCUUAAGAUUUCAACUAUCGAAAUAUCUAACCUUUUAGGUUAUUUCCAAUUCACUAGCGCCGCCAAGCGGUUGUAUUUCAAAUUAAACUUGUU
Molecule: long non-coding RNA, 622 nt
Organism: Armigeres subalbatus
Lineage: Eukaryota; Metazoa; Arthropoda; Insecta; Diptera; Culicidae
Exons: 3
Source: RefSeq, a predicted model, not a curated record